This 458-nucleotide ribosomal RNA is filed under the name uncultured Methanomicrobiales archaeon. RNAcentral's name for it is "bacterial SSU rRNA". It matches the Rfam family "Archaeal small subunit ribosomal RNA", at positions 881 to 1338 of the family's 1478-position model. Lineage: Archaea; Methanobacteriati; Methanobacteriota; Methanomicrobia; Methanomicrobiales. The record is from RNAcentral.
ACAACAGGUGGAGCCUGCGGUUUAAUCGGACUCAACGCCGGGAAACUCACCAGAUAAGACAGCUGAAUGAUAGCCGGGCUGAAGACUCUACUUGACUAGCUGAGAGGAGGUGCAUGGCCGUCGUCAGUUCGUACUGUGAAGCAUCCUGUUAAGUCAGGCAACGAGCGAGACCCACGCCAACAGUUGCCAGCUCGUCCUCCGGGAUGGUGGGGACACUGUUGGGACCGCCUCUGCUAAAGAGGAGGAAGGAAUGGGCAACGGUAGGUCAGCAUGCCCCGAAUUAUCUGGGCUACACGCGGGCUACAAUGGGUGGGACAAUGGGUAUCGACACCGAAAGGUGAAGGCAAUCUCCUAAACCCAUCCGUAGUUCGGAUUGUGGGCUGCAACUCGCCCACAUGAAGCUGGAAUCUGUAGUAAUCGUGUCUCAAAAUGGCACGGUGAAUAUGUCCCUGCUCCUU